AUGGCCGCGGCAGCCGCCGCCGCGCCUGACGCCCAGAGGUGGACCAGAUCUGGCGGUCCGUCAUCUCCGGUGACCGCCACCGCGGUCUUCCUCUUCGUAUUCGUUGUCGUGGUCGGCGUCCUCGUCUCCGGCCGCUGGAUAACCACCACCACUAAUUUGGCAGACACCAAUCUAGAUCGGUGGCGCACAAACCCGGUAGAUUCAAUCUCCGUCCAUGCAGGCGAUCCUGAAUUCCUGACCGCCACGCAUUCCACCUCCAUCCCUGCCACCCCUGCUGUGCCGCCGCCGCCGCUCCCCACAUACUCCCUCUCCUGCUCGGCGCCAGGCGCUGGUGACCCUGACAUCCCAAGCAACAUCUCUCAGACUCUGUCCCUCGCACUCUCCUCAAACGCAACAUGCGCCACUGUCUCCGAGACACAGCUGGUUCCCCCCAUUGCUGCCGCCAACACCUCCUGCCCCGCCUACUUCCGCUUCAUCCACGAGGACCUCCACCCGUGGCGCGCGGCGGGGGGCAUCACCCGCACGAUGCUUGACCGUGCGCGCACCACAGCCAACUUCCGCCUCGUCGUGCUCCAUGGCCGUGCCUACAUCGAGCGCAUCGCGCCGGCCUUCCAGACGCGUGACCUCUUCACCAUCUGGGGCAUCCUCCAACUGCUCCGCCGCUACCCUGGUCGCAUCCCCGAUCUCGACCUCAUGUUCAACUGUGUGGACUGGCCGGUUGUCCACCCUGACAAGUACCAGGGGGAGAACGCAACCGUCUUGCCGCCGCUUUUCCGGUACUGCGGCGACAAUGAGACACUCGACAUAGUUUUCCCGGACUGGUCUUUCUGGGGCUGGGCUGAGAUCAAUAUAAAGCCCUGGGAUGCGCUGCAAAAGGAUCUGGAUGCUGGCAAUAGGAAGGUGGGAUGGAUAGAUAGAGAGCCUUAUGCUUAUUGGAAAGGGAAUCCAGAGGUCGCAGCUAUAAGGCAAGAGCUGGUUAAGUGUAAUGUUUCCAGUGAGCAAGAAUGGAAUGCACGGAUUUACAAACAGGAUUGGGUCAAAGAGAGCAAGGCUGGAUACAAAAAAUCAGAUUUGGCCAGUCAAUGCACCCACAGGUACAAGAUCUACAUCGAAGGAUCAGCGUGGUCAGUUAGCAAGAAGUAUAUCCUAGCUUGUGAUUCAAUGACGCUGGUGAUUAACCCAAAAUAUUAUGAUUUCUUUUCAAGGGUGCUGAUGCCCACUCAGCACUAUUGGCCUGUUCGAGAUGACAGUAAAUGUAACUCCAUAAAGUAUGCUGUUGAUUGGGGAAAUUCUCACAAGAAAAAGGCACAGAAAAUAGGGAAGGAGGGAAGCAAGUUCAUUCAACAAGAACUUAGUAUGGAAUAUGUAUACGAUUACAUGUUUCACCUCUUAACGGAAUACGCUAAGCUCCUAAGAUUCAAGCCAACCAAGCCUCCUGAAGCUGUUGAGGUCUGUCCCGAAUCUUUGGCCUGCCAAGCCAUAGGCAGGGAGAAGAAGUUCAUGGAGGACUCCAUGGUGAAGUCUGCAAACGUCGCUGGUCCGUGCAAUCUGCCUCCUCCCUUUAGCCCUGAGGAAUUCAGAGAGCUACACCAGAGGAAAGAAAAGUCGAUGAACCAGGUCGAAAUGCUGGAGCGAAAUGCUUCAAAGCCCGAGGAGAGAAAUGCUUCAAAGCCUGAGGAUAGCAAUCGCUGA
Molecule: ribosomal RNA, 1692 nt
Filed under: Triticum aestivum (bread wheat)
Lineage: Eukaryota; Viridiplantae; Streptophyta; Magnoliopsida; Poales; Poaceae
Description: partial small subunit ribosomal RNA
Source: RNAcentral